CUUCACCGAUCCGAGCCACAGCGGGCGGCCGGCCGGCCGGUCCCGGCCGUAGGUCGCCAUCAGGGCCUCGGCCUC
Molecule: antisense RNA, 75 nt
Filed under: Streptomyces cyaneogriseus subsp. noncyanogenus
Lineage: Bacteria; Bacillati; Actinomycetota; Actinomycetes; Kitasatosporales; Streptomycetaceae
Description: ASpks TB sRNA
Rfam family: ASpks TB sRNA
Source: Rfam by way of RNAcentral